AUGGUUUCAUAUAAAAACUCUCGAAUGUCUGCGAGAAUACACAGUUAGUGGUUCGCGUUUGAUCGAAAUAAUUCAAAUUUUUUUCCCAAUAUUUAAAACAUUUCGCCACAAAAUGAAAUUUACCACCGUAUUGGCGUUAUUAGUCGUGCUAGCAACAACAUGUUCAGCUCAACUUAUACUUACUAGUUGUGCUCGAAUGAACGAUGGACCAGUCGGUGCUAAAGUAGCUCAGGCAGCUUGUAUCUCUAGCUGUAAAUUCCAGAACUGUGGAACCGGGUCGUGCCAAUAUCGUGGACGCCCGGUAUGUGUUUGCAGUCGGUGUGCUAAUGGAGGCGGUGAAUGGCCAACCAUUCCAGGAAAGGGAAAAUAAUUAGUUGAAAUAAGUUCGAAGUAUUUUUAAUAAAAACAAAAAAAUAGUUAUUUAUGCAACAAAUUGCGAAAA
Molecule: long non-coding RNA, 442 nt
Organism: Bradysia coprophila
Lineage: Eukaryota; Metazoa; Arthropoda; Insecta; Diptera; Sciaridae
Source: RefSeq, a predicted model, not a curated record